UACAGAGGUCUCAAGCGUUGUUCGGAUUCAUUGGGCGUAAAGGGUGCGUAGGCGGCGCGGUAAGUCGGGUGUGAAAUCUCGGGGCUUAACUCCGAAACUGCAUUCGAUACUGCCGUGCUUGAGGACUGGAGAGGAGACUGGAAUUUACGGUGUAGCGGUGAAAUGCGCAGAUAUCGGGAGGAACACCUGUGGCGAAAGCGGCGCACUGGACCAUAACUGACGCUGAGGCGCGAAAGCUGGGGGAGCAAACCGG
Molecule: ribosomal RNA, 253 nt
Filed under: uncultured bacterium
Lineage: Bacteria
Description: partial 16S ribosomal RNA
Rfam family: Bacterial small subunit ribosomal RNA
Source: RNAcentral